Molecule: long non-coding RNA, 2104 nt
Filed under: Homo sapiens (human)
Lineage: Eukaryota; Metazoa; Chordata; Mammalia; Primates; Hominidae
Description: family with sequence similarity 27 member C
Source: RNAcentral
UGGCAGAGCAGGAGCCCUCGGUGGCAGUGCUUGGGUGUCGAGGCUCUGAGGCUCCGGCCUCACCUCUCCACGGGGUCGAAGGGAACGUCUCCGGAUGCCAGGAGUCGCAAAGGGCCGACCAUGAUGAUGAAACCCCAGGCAGAGACGGGGGAAGCAGCACGGGAUCCCAGCCUCAGGCCUGCACGGACGGUGUUGGUUGGGAGACGAGGUCUCACUAUAUUGACCAGGCUGGUCUUGAACUCCUGGCCUUAAGCGAUCCUCCUGCCUUGGCCUCCCAAAGUGCUGGAGUUACAGAUGUGAGCCUCUGUGCUCAGUCCAUCCUUGGCUGUUCAAGUGUAGAGGGCUAACACCAUACUCAAUGAUGAAAACCUGAAAACUUUCCCUAAGAUCAAGAACAAGGCGGGGCGGUUCCAAGAUGGCCGAAUAGGAACAGCUCCAGUCUAAGCUCCCAGCAUAAGUGAUGGAGAAGAUGGGUGAUUUCUGCAUUUCCAACUGAGAUGAAUUGGUGAAUAGCUUUGUGACAGACCUUUGUUCAAGAUCCAUUCAAGGAUAGAAGACAAUUGCAUUGAAUGGUUGAAUAGGGAGAUUUCUCAGGAGAAUGUUGCUGGGUGCGGUUGAAUAUUUACUCUCCCACAUCCUUGCCUGGCAGGAGGGCCUGUAAGGAGGCUAUUCUAUGAGCUUGUAUCAUCUCCCUGGAUUCUAGGAGCAAAUUAAGAAGCAAAUGUUGGACCUCUGCCUGUGAAAACCACAGGUCCAAGACACUGAGAGGAACCAGGAACCACGCCGUACCCUCAAGAACUGCACCUUCCAACCACCCUUAUAUGAGCCUGCUCCAAAACCUUGCCAGCCAGCACUUCCAGGUUACGACUAUUGACCUCCAGCUCCCAGUUUCAGGUGAGAGAGAGUUCUCCCAGUCUCCUGGAUCACACUGGUCGGAAAGCUGUUUGGUAGACAACCUUCGAGUCUUUCUGCCUUCAUACUGAUAUAUUGUCCAUGAGAUCUUGUCCUGUGAAGUCUUUCCUGGCACAUAGUUACGCAUGCUGUUGCUGACUGUUGACACAUACCAUCGGCUAAGAGCAGUGGCUGGCUUUGAAACAGCUCCACCUUCCCUGAAUACUCUUUCAGCGUCUCUGACGUCUAGGCCAAGUUUGUGUACUUAGCUCCAUGACAGCAUCAAGAUACAAACAACAAGAACUGAUGGAUUUCAGUACAUCUUCUGGGGCUCCUGCCUGUGGGAUACAGCUUGUCUUUGAUGUCUUACCCUCUACAUCCAUGUCUCCUUCCUGUCUGUGCUGUGGACUUCAAACUCCAGCAUCAGACAUGAAGACAACAUCCUGCAGAGAUUGCUUUAAGCAGCUCCCACAGUUAUAACAACAUCAUGGCCCUAUAGCAAAUAUCAUAAAAAUUUUUCCACACCUAUAUUCACAAACAUAAAAUCUUUUAUUGGUUCUGUUUCUCAGUUGAAUCAUGACUGAUACAAUAUGAGAAGCAGUAUAUUAUUAUUUAUAGGUAAGGUGUCAUUAAUUACAGAUGCAUGGGUCAGGCAUAGUGGCUCAUCCCUGUAAUCCAAGCACUUUGAGAUACCAAGGUAGGAGGAUCCCUUGAGGCCAGGAAUUUGAGACCAGCCUGGGUAACAAAGUGAGACUCUGUCUCUACGAAAAACAAUUUUUUAAGGUGCAUAUUAUAAACCUAGGGAACCACUAAAAUAUUUUUAAAAGAAGCAUAAAUGAUAAAAAAACAAAAAAUGGAGAUUAAAUGGAAUCAUUAAAAAUAAUUCAAAAUCAGUUAGAAAAAGAACAAAGAACAAAUAUAACAAAUAAAAACAAGAUAUGAGAUAGUACAUUAAAAUCCAACUGUAUCAGUAGCUGUAUUUAAUUUAAAUGACCUAAACAUACCAACUAAAACACAGAGAUGAUCAAAUUAGAUAAAAAAGCAAGAAUCAACUAUAAUCUAUCUAUAAUAAAUUCACAUUAAAUAUAAAAGUAUACAGGUUAAAAGUAAAAGGAUGAAAAAUAUACCAUAUAUGCCAUGCAAACAGUUGCUCUAUUAGUAUUAGAUAACAGGAAAUUCCAGAACAAAGAAUAUCUUCAGAAAUAAAAAGCCA